GAUUCCUCUUUCUCAUUCUUCUCUAUCUCCGACCUCCUCCUUCUCCCUACUCCAACAGGUUUAGAAGGGACUCAUGGGAGGCAGGCUGAUUAGGCAGUGGGAACGACGGGAGGAGGACGUUAGGGUUUUGGCGCGGCUAGGGACAAGUCAGGGCGAGGGCACCCAUAACCACAACAGUGGUAGAGGAGAAGGAGGAGGGAGGAGGAGACCGUCGUGGGUGUGGUAGGGUCUUGUCGGAGCAGCUGCGGCCUCGAUGGCGGUGCUCCGGAAAGACCCUACCAUACCGCGGCAAGGCGCGUCGAGAGGAGAAAAAGAUGUGAAGAAGAAAUUGGGUGUUGAGAGUGCGUGUAACGCCCAGAGUGCUGCGUGGACAGCUCCCAAAAGGUGAUGGUGUGGAUUAGUAAUGACCUCUUGUUGGACGCGCUGCUUUGCGGACGCCGCGUCAGUCGCUCUUACGAGGAGGUAGAUCCUGCUCACAUCAGGCUGCACCCGUACUAUCUUCUCCACAAGAACUGCACGAACAAGAUCAUCCAUUAUUCGUUCAUCACAUGCAGGUCAUCAAGCUUUGAUAGAAGAUGUGCUCCUGUCGAGCUAGUGAUGAUAGUACACAUACUCUUUCCAAGAAAGCCAGUUGAGCCGGUGAUGAGGAUGGUCUUCCCCUUGAAAUAGCCUAUGAUCCUCGCCGCGUCCAUGCUAUCCAUCA
RNAcentral lists this long non-coding RNA (703 nucleotides) under Sorghum bicolor (sorghum). RNAcentral describes it as "long non-coding RNA (SBIC_LNC013330)". Lineage: Eukaryota; Viridiplantae; Streptophyta; Magnoliopsida; Poales; Poaceae. The record is from RNAcentral.